This 497-nucleotide ribosomal RNA is filed under the name uncultured bacterium. Its description in RNAcentral is "partial 16S ribosomal RNA". It matches the Rfam family "Bacterial small subunit ribosomal RNA", at positions 28 to 507 of the family's 1533-position model. The record is from RNAcentral.
GAUGAACGCUGGCGGCGUGCCUAAUACAUGCAAGUCGAGCGAACAGACGAGGAGCUUGCUCCUCUGAUGUUAGCGGCGGACGGGUGAGUAACACGUGGAUAACCUACCUAUAAGACUGGGAUAACUUCGGGAAACCGGAGCUAAUACCGGAUAACAUGUUGAACCGCAUGGUUCAACAGUGAGAGACGGUCUUGCGGUCACUUAUAGAGGGAUCCGGGCCGCAUUAGCUAGUUGGUAAGGUAAAGGCUUACCAAGGCAACGAUGCGUAGCCGACCUGAGAGGGUGAUAGGCCACACUGGAACUGAGACACGGUCCAGACUCCUACGGUAGGCAGCAGUAGGGAAUCUUACGCAAUGGGCGAAAGCCUUACGCAGCUACGCCGCGUGAGUGAAGAAGGUCUUCGGAUCGUAAAACUCUGUUAUUAGUGAAGAACAAAUGUGUAAGUAACUAUGCCCGUCUUGACGGUACCUAAUCAGAAAGCCACGGCUAACUACGUG